AGCGGCCAUACCAUGCUGAAUAUACCGGUUCUCGUUAGAUCACCGAAGUCAAGCAGCAUUGGGCGCGAUCAGUACUUGGGUGGGUGACCACCUGGGAACACCGCGGGCCG
This 110-nucleotide ribosomal RNA is filed under the name Caerostris extrusa. Lineage: Eukaryota; Metazoa; Arthropoda; Arachnida; Araneae; Araneidae. The record is from RNAcentral.